AGAUGAGUUCUCCCUGAGACUUUAAGUCUCCUGAAGGAACGUUGAAGACGACGACGUUGAUAGGUCGGGUGUGUAAGUGUAGCGAUACAUUGAGCUAACCGAUACUAAUGAACCGUGAGGCUUAACCUUACAACGCCGAAG
Molecule: ribosomal RNA, 141 nt
Filed under: Citrobacter freundii
Lineage: Bacteria; Pseudomonadati; Pseudomonadota; Gammaproteobacteria; Enterobacterales; Enterobacteriaceae
Description: partial 23S ribosomal RNA
Rfam family: Bacterial large subunit ribosomal RNA
Source: RNAcentral